This 497-nucleotide ribosomal RNA is filed under the name uncultured bacterium. RNAcentral's name for it is "partial 16S ribosomal RNA". It matches the Rfam family "Bacterial small subunit ribosomal RNA", at positions 28 to 507 of the family's 1533-position model. The record is from RNAcentral.
GACGAACGCUGGCGGCGUGCCUAAUACAUGCAAGUUGAGCGAUGAAGAUUGGUGCUUGCACCAAUUUGAAGAGCAGCGAACGGGUGAGUAACGCGUGGGGAAUCUGCCUUUGAGCGGGGGACAACAUUUGGAAACGAAUGCUAAUACCGCAUAACAACUUUAAACAUAAGUUUUAAGUUUGAAGGAUGCAAUUGCAUCACUCAAAGAUGAUCCCGCGUUGUAUUAGCUAGUUGGUGAGGUAAAGGCUCACCAAGGCGAUGAUACAUAGCCGACCUGAGAGGGGGAUCGGCCACAUUGGGACUGAGACACGGCCCAAACUCCUACGGGAGGCAGCAGUAGGGAAUCUUCGGCAAUGGACGAAAGUCUGACCGAGCAACGCCGCGUGAGUGAAGAAGGGUUUCGGAUCGUAAAACUCUGUUGGUAGAGAAGAACGUUGGUGAGAGUGGAAAGCUCAUCAAGUGACGGUAACUACACAGAAAGGGACGGCUAACUACGUG